This 439-nucleotide ribosomal RNA is filed under the name uncultured bacterium. RNAcentral describes it as "partial 16S ribosomal RNA". It matches the Rfam family "Bacterial small subunit ribosomal RNA", at positions 339 to 795 of the family's 1533-position model. The record is from RNAcentral.
CUACGGGUUGCACCAGUGGGGAAUAUUGCACAAUGGAGGAAACUCUGAUGCAGCAACGCCGCGUGGAGGAUGACACUUUUCGGAGCGUAAACUCCUUUUAUAUAGGAAGAAGAUGACGGUACUAUAUGAAUAAGCGCCGGCUAACUCCGUGCCAGCAGCCGCGGUAAUACGGAGGGCGCAAGCGUUACUCGGAAUCACUGGGCGUAAAGAGCGUGUAGGCGGAUUAAAAAGUCAGAAGUGAAAUCCUAUAGCUUAACUAUAGAACUGCUUCUGAAACUCUUAAUCUAGAAUAUGGGAGAGGUAGAUGGAAUUUCUGGUGGAGGGGUAAAAUCCGUAGAGAUCAGAAGGAAUACCGAUUGCGAAGGCGAUCUACUAGAACAUUAUUGACGCUGAGACGCGAAAGCGUGGGAAGCAAACAGGAUUAGAUACCCCGGUAGUC